This 742-nucleotide ribosomal RNA is filed under the name uncultured bacterium. RNAcentral's name for it is "bacterial SSU rRNA". It matches the Rfam family "Bacterial small subunit ribosomal RNA", at positions 8 to 796 of the family's 1533-position model. The record is from RNAcentral.
AGAGUUUGAUCAUGGCUCAGAACGAACGCUGGCGGCAUGCCUAACACAUGCAAGUCGAACGAAGCCUUCGGGCUUAGUGGCGCACGGGUGCGUAACGCGUGGGAAUCUGCCCUUAGGUACGGAAUAACUCAGGGAAACUUGAGCUAAUACCGUAUAAUGACUCCGGUCCAAAGAUUUAUCGCCUAGGGAUGAGCCCGCGUCGGAUUAGCUAGUUGGUGAGGUAAAAGCUCACCAAGGCGACGAUCCGUAGCUGGUCUGAGAGGAUGAUCAGCCACACUGGGACUGAGACACGGCCCAGACUCCUACGGGAGGCAGCAGUGGGGAAUAUUGGACAAUGGGCGAAAGCCUGAUCCAGCAAUGCCGCGUGAGUGAUGAAGGCCUUAGGGUUGUAAAGCUCUUUUACCCGGGAUGAUAAUGACAGUACCGGGAGAAUAAGCCCCGGCUAACUCCGUGCCAGCAGCCGCGGUAAUACGGAGGGGGCUAGCGUUGUUCGGAAUUACUGGGCGUAAAGCGCACGUAGGCGGCUUUGUAAGUUAGAGGUGAAAGCCCGGGGCUCAACUCCGGAAUUGCCUUUAAGACUGCAUCGCUAGAAUUGUGGAGAGGUAAGUGGAAUUCCGAGUGUAGAGGUGAAAUUCGUAGAUAUUCGGAAGAACACCAGUGGCGAAGGCGACUUACUGGAUACAUAUUGACGCUGAGGUGCGAAAGCGUGGGGAGCAACCAGGAUUAGAUACCCUAGUAGUCC